RNAcentral lists this ribosomal RNA (450 nucleotides) under uncultured bacterium. RNAcentral's name for it is "partial 16S ribosomal RNA". It matches the Rfam family "Bacterial small subunit ribosomal RNA", at positions 338 to 795 of the family's 1533-position model. The record is from RNAcentral.
CCUACGGGGGGCUGCAGUGGGGAAUAUUGGACAAUGGGCGCAAGCCUGAUCCAGCAAUGCCGCGUGUGUGAAGAAGGCCUGCGGGUUGUAAAGCACUUUGAGUGGGGAAGAAGGCCUGGGGGUUAAUAGCUUCUGGGAUUGACGUUACCCACAGAACAAGCACCGGCUAACUCCGUGCCAGCAGCCGCGGUAAUCCGGAGGGUGCGAGCGUUAAUCGAAGUUACUGGGCGCGGUUGAAUCAGUCUGAUGUGAAAGCCCUGGGCUUAACCUGGGAACUGCAUUGGAUACUGUUUGACUGGAGUGUGGUAGAGGGGUGUGGAAUUUCCGGUGUAGCAGUGAAAUGCGUAGAGAUCGGAAGGAACACCAGUGGCGAAGGCGGCACCCUGGACCGACACUGACGCUGAGGUGCGAAAGCGUGGGGAGCAAACAGGAUUAGAUACCCUUGUAGUC